GUGGGGAAUCUUAGACAAUGGGCGCAAGCCUGAUCUAGCCAUGCCGCGUGAGCGAUGAAGGCCUUAGGGUUGUAAAGCUCUUUCGUGGGGGAAGAUAAUGACUGUACCCCAAGAAGAAGCCCCGGCUAACUCCGUGCCAGCAGCCGCGGUAAUACGGAGGGGGCUAGCGUUGUUCGGAAUUACUGGGCGUAAAGCGCACGUAGGCGGACUGGAAAGUCAGGGGUGAAAUCCCGGGGCUCAACCCCGGAACUGCCUUUGAAACUCCCAGUCUUGAGUUCGAGAGGGGUGAGUGGAAUUCCGAGUGUAGAGGUGAAAUUCGUAGAUAUUCGGAAGAACACCAGUGGCGAAGGCGACUCACUGGCUCAUUACUGACGCUGAGGCUCGAAAGCGUGGGGAGCAAACAGGAUUAGAUACCCGAGUAGUCC
RNAcentral lists this ribosomal RNA (425 nucleotides) under uncultured bacterium. RNAcentral describes it as "partial 16S ribosomal RNA". It matches the Rfam family "Bacterial small subunit ribosomal RNA", at positions 354 to 796 of the family's 1533-position model. The record is from RNAcentral.